Molecule: ribosomal RNA, 371 nt
Filed under: Candidatus Omnitrophota bacterium
Lineage: Bacteria; Pseudomonadati; Candidatus Omnitrophota
Description: Candidatus Omnitrophica bacterium partial 23S ribosomal RNA
Rfam family: Bacterial large subunit ribosomal RNA
Source: RNAcentral
ACAAGGUCCCAAGGGUCCGGCUGUUCGCCGGUUAAAAGGGUACGUGAGCUGGGUUUAGAACGUCGUGAGACAGUUCGGUCUCUAUCUGGUGUGGGCGUGCGAUACUUGCAGGGGAAAUCUUCCCAGUACGAGAGGACCGGAAGAUACAGACCUCUGGUGUUCCAGUUAUCCUGCCAAGGGUAAUGGCUGGGUAGCCAUGUCUGGAAAGGAUAAGCACUGAAAGCAUAUAAGUGCGAAGCUAACCUCAAGAUUAUGUAUCGUUUCCCUUCGGGGAUGAAGGCUCCUCGUAGACCACGAGGUUGAUAGGUCGCGUGUGUAAGACCAGUAAUGGUUUAAGCUAAGCGAUACUAAUAGGCCAAAAACUUGACCUG